UGGGGAAUAUUGCGCAAUGGGCGAAAGCCUGACGCAGCCAUGCCGCGUGCGGGAAGAAGGCCUUCGGGUUGUAAACCGCUUUUGUCAGGGAAGAAACGGUCUGCACUAAUACUGCGGAUUAAUGACUGUACCUGAAGAAUAAGCACCGGCUAACUACGUGCCAGCAGCCGCGGUAAUACGUAGGGUGCAAGCGUUAAUCGGAAUUACUGGGCGUAAAGCGUGCGCAGGCGGCUUUGCAAGACAGAUGUGAAAUCCCCGGGCUUAACCUGGGAACUGCAUUUGUGGCUGCAAGGCUGGAGUGCGGCAGAGGGGGAUGGAAUUCCGCGUGUAGCAGUGAAAUGCGUAGAUAUGCGGAGGAACACCGAUGGCGAAGGCAAUCCCCUGGACCAUUACUGACACUGAGACACGAAAGCGUGGGUAGCGAACCGGAUUAGAUACCCAGGUAGUCCCUGAGCGGGCUGGCAAGGCGCAU
This 472-nucleotide ribosomal RNA is filed under the name uncultured bacterium. Its description in RNAcentral is "bacterial SSU rRNA". It matches the Rfam family "Bacterial small subunit ribosomal RNA", at positions 355 to 825 of the family's 1533-position model. The record is from RNAcentral.